GCCGAGGUAGCUCAGCCGGUAGAGCGACGGACUGAAAAUCCGUGCGUCGGCGGUUCGAUUCCGUCCCUCGGCA
Molecule: transfer RNA, 73 nt
Filed under: Candidatus Omnitrophota bacterium
Lineage: Bacteria; Pseudomonadati; Candidatus Omnitrophota
Description: tRNA-Phe
Rfam family: tRNA
About the family: Transfer RNA (tRNA) molecules are approximately 80 nucleotides in length. Their secondary structure includes four short double-helical elements and three loops (D, anti-codon, and T loops).
Source: RNAcentral